This 376-nucleotide ribosomal RNA is filed under the name uncultured bacterium. Its description in RNAcentral is "bacterial SSU rRNA". It matches the Rfam family "Bacterial small subunit ribosomal RNA", at positions 524 to 898 of the family's 1533-position model. The record is from RNAcentral.
UACGUAGGGGGCGAGCGUUGUCCGGAAUGACUGGGCGUAAAGGGCGUGUAGGCGGCUUUUUAAGUCUGGAGUGAAAGCCCCGUUUUCAAGGCGGGGAUUGCUUUGGAGACUGGAGAGCUUGAGUGCGGAAGAGGUAAGUGGAAUUCCCAGUGUAGCGGUGAAAUGCGUAGAGAUUGGGAGGAACACCAGUGGCGAAGGCGACUUACUGGGCCGUAACUGACGCUGAGGCGCGAAAGCGUGGGGAGCGAACAGGAUUAGAUACCCUGGUAGUCCACGCUGUAAACGAUGAAUGCUAGGUGUAGCGGGUAUCGACCCCUGCUGUGCCGGAGUAAACACAAUAAGCAUUCCGCCUGGGGAGUACGGCCGCAAGGUUGAA